Molecule: long non-coding RNA, 5046 nt
Filed under: Sus scrofa (pig)
Lineage: Eukaryota; Metazoa; Chordata; Mammalia; Artiodactyla; Suidae
Description: lncRNA (ENSSSCG00015075778.1)
Source: RNAcentral
UUUUUUGUUUUUUUUUUUUAAAGCUCUUCAGGUGACACUGAUGGACCUCCACAGCUGAGAUUCCCAGCCCUGGACCUCCUGAAACAAUCUCUUCGACAGCGGAUCUCAACCUUGAAAGCUUUGGAAGGUACAGGUGUGGGAGUCCCACCGCCAGUGAUUCUGAAGUCAUGAGACUGGGGUGAGGCCUGAGAUUCUUUAUUCAGUGAUUAUGCUUUUCAGCUCCAGAAUUUCUAUUUAGUUCAUUUUUAUCAUAUCUAUUUCUUUUGAUAGAAUAUUGAUAUUCACAUUUUGUUCAUACAUUGUUUUUCUAAGUUCUUUUAGUUCUUUGUCCAUGGUUUCCUCCUGUUCAGUAAACAUAUUUAAGACAGUUUGUUUAGAAGUUCCUUGGUAACUCAGUGAGUUAAGCAUCCGGCUUUGUCACUGUUGUGGCUUUGCUCACUGCUGUGGCACAGGUUCAAUCCCCGGCCCAGGAACUUGUGCAUGCUGGGGGCACAGCCAAAAAAAAUAACAAUUACAUUUAAAAAAAUUUUUUUAAAUAACUGGUUAAAAGUCUUUGACUGAUAAGUCCAAUGUUAGGGCUCGCUCAGGGAUAGUUUCUGCCAAUUUUGUUCCUUUGACUGGACCAUACUUUCCUGUUUCUUGGCAUGCGUUGUGAUUUUUUUUUUCUGAGAUCGAACAUUUGAAUAUUAUAAUGUGAUAACUGGAAAUCAGAUUCUCCUCCUUCCCCAGCGGUUGCCGGUUUGAUUGAUGAAGGCUGCCGUCACUACUGGCUUAGUGAUUUUCCCAAACUAUUUUACAAAGGCUGUAUUUCAUGUUAUAUGUAGUCAAAGAAGUCUGUUCCUUCAGCUCAUGUUCAAAUAGCAUGUUGAUAGAGAUUUCCCCGAAUGCCAGGAUCUAAAAAAAAAAAAACAAGACAAACACAACACGCCUCCCAGGGCUUGCGGAUGGGCUCUGUUUGCAACCUGCCUAAGACAAUAUUCACUGCUUGCAGGGAGCCAUCUUUACGAUGCUUUUUUUUUUUUUUUUUUUUUUUUCCUUGCUUCAGCAUUCACUUGGUUGCUGUAAACCUUGAUGGUUUUCCAGAAUUCUUACAAAGUUGGUUCUGACAGUUUCUGCUUAUUUUUUCAAUGUUUCUGCGGAGGAGCUGGGAAUGCCUUUUCUUAGCAGCGGUGCGGGCUGCUAAUAACAGAAAUACUAUAGACUGAGUGGCUUAGCAUCAACAGCAAUUUAUUCCUCACAGUUCUGGGGGUGGAAGUCCAAGGUCAGGGUGCCAGCAUGGCCAGGCUCUGGUGAGAGUCCUAUGCACUUGCAGACUGCCGGUUUCUCGUUGUAUCCUCACAUGGCAGAGAGCAGAAAGAGGAAACGCGCUGUGAGUCCUGUAGGGGCACUAUCCCCACUGGUGAGGGCUCCACCCUCAUAGCUGCGUCUAAUCCUGUUUACCUCCCAGAGGUCCCCCCUCCUCAUACCAUCGCAGGGUGGGGGGGGAGGUAUGGUUUCCGCAUGGGCAUCUGGGGAGGACACAAGCAUUCAGUCCUUAACACACUGACUCCGCCAUUUUUUUAUUUUUUAUUUUUAUUUUUUGCCUUUUGUCUUUUUAGGGCUGCACCCAUGAGUAUAUGGAGGUGCCCAGGCUAGGGGUCCAAUCGGAACUGUUGCUGCCAGCCUACACCAGAACCACAGUAACACCAGACCUGAGCUGCAUCUGCAACCUACACCACAGCUCAUGGCAAUGCCGAAUCCUUAACCCACUGAGUGAGGCCAGGGAUCGAACCUGAAACUUCAAGGUUCCUAGUCGGCUAGUCAGAUUCGUUUCCGCUGCACCAAGACGGGAACUCCCUUUUUUUUUUUUAAAGCUCCCCUGGUGAUUCUAAUGUAUAGCCACGGUUCAUACCCACUACUCUGGAAGCAAAACUUUGGCAUGACUGCUUUCAACAAGCUCCUUAGGUGAUUCUGAUGUAGCCAUUCCAAGCUCUGGGGUCCUGCAGGUUCAGGAAGUCCACCUUCUGUCAUCUUCCGCCACUUCCCGGGACCCAGAUGAGGAGAUCAGGCUGAAGGAGGAAGAGAUCAACCUUUGUGGGCAUGGCUCACCAUCCCGGGACUGCAGCACACGGUGCCACGGGGACACCUAGUGGUGAGUUGCUCCAUUGGGGGGUUAAGGAGAGGAACUGGCUUAUUGCUCCCAUUUGCUUCAGAGGAAUUAGAACGGAAAUUAAGAAAGGAGCCCAGGAUGGGCCAGAUUCCUGCCUCCACGUGUGACCGAUGAGUUAAAAGUUUUUCAGCAGUAGAUUUCUGUUGGGACUCAGCAUAUGGGUCACCUGCACCCGAGCUAGCGGCCCCUGAAAUUGCUAAGACUUCCAGUUACAUAAGGUACAAGCUCUCAGGUAAAUGCAGCUGAGGAUGAAGGCUUCUCAGUCCAGCUGAGCUCCAGGGUUCACCCCUCGCAGACACGAGGUCCUCAAAGAGUAAGUAGUUCUGGGAUAACCAAGAGAUUUUUUUUCCCUAUCUCACCAGGUGUGAUCAUGGACAGGGCUUUAAUUAUCUGACUCUCAGUUUCUUUACCUGUAUGGUGAAAGUAAUUACCUGCCUCAGUUCUUCUAUGGAAGAUAUACGCAAUGUAUUACCUAGUAAAAGAAUUUUAAAAAUAAGGGAGUUCCCGUUGUGGCGCAGCAGAAAUGAAUCUGACUAGUAUCCAUGAGGAAGUGGGUUCGAUCCCUGGCCUUGUUCAGUGGGUUAAGGAUCCCACGUUGCCGUGACCUCUGGUGUAGGUUGCAGGCAUGGCUUGGAACCCACAUUGCUGUGGCUGUGGCAUAGGCUGGCAGCUGCAGCUCCAAUGAGACCCGUAGCCUGGGAACUUCCAUAAGCUGCAGGUGUGGCCUUAAAAAAAAAAACAGGCAAAAAAAUAAUAAACAGUAAAGUAAUAAUAAUAAAUAUGUAGUUUGAUCCCGUUUUGUUUAAAGUCAUGAAUAUACCUUUAUACAUAUAUUUAUCUUUAUAUAAGUUAGUAUGGGUGUGUAUAUGUAUAUUUACGUAUGUAUGCAUACAGCGCUAGAACAGUGCUCACCAAACAGGUAGUGAGGUUGGAGGUGAUGUUUGCUCUCCUUUUUGUACUUGUUUAUGACGUGCAUGUACUGUUUUUUACAAAAGAAUACUGAACCUUUGGGUCAAGAGGUCUGAUUAAAUACAUCUGUUCAUCUCUCAUCUCUCCUCCCUCCAAACAUCCCACUGAAAUGACAAAGUGAGCAUUUCCAAGUACUAAUGAGAGUUCUUCAAAUAAUAAUAAUAAUAAUAAUACUCAGAAUAAUGAGGAUUAAAAUCUGGCACGUAGCACUUGCAGUAAUUACCUCCAUUCCCCAACUACUUGUAGCUCUAAAGAGAACACGAAUAAAGGGAUUUUUUUUUACUCUUUAUGUGCCGUAGACCCAUGAACCUGGUGAAGCCCAGGGACCUCUUCUCAGUAUAUUUUUAAAUGAAUAAACAACCACACAUAGGAUUACAGAGGAAAUCAUUUAUAUCAAAACGCAGUUAUCAUAAUAUUUUUAAAACAAAUCUGUCAUAAAGUAACAUAUGUGCUUCUAUAUUAGAAGAAUUUAGCAAUGUGUCUAAUAAAUAGAAUGAACAGAAGUGAUAUUUUGAGAUAACUUCAGCAAUAUCACCAUGAUAGGAAACUGUCUCCUUUCCAUUGGUGAUAAAAUCACAGGAACUGCCAAAACCACCAUGGUCUGUUGCUUAUGUUCCUGUGUGUAGGUGAUGCUGAAUUUAAAUUCAACUUCAUGAAAAUAAAGACCAUUUUUCUCAUCCAAUGUCAUGGACCUCCAAAGAUAAUAAAAUAGGUGCUCCCAUAGGUCUUUGCUUAAGUCUGUUUGAUUUCUUUCUCUAUUUGCAUCUUUUUUUGUUGUUGUUGGCCAUGUCCACAGCAUGCGAAAGUUCCCAGGCCAGGGAUCAAACCCGAACCACAGCAGGGACCUGAGCCACAGCAGCGACGAGUCCCGAUCCUCAACCCACUGAGCCAACAGAGAAUUCCCUUGCAUCUUUCUUCCAAUAUGUGAUGAUCCUUGGUUAUGGCUUUGGUGUGACUAUCCAUUAGGGAGCUCCCAAUGUCAGUAUCUUUCUAUAGGUCUUUCCUCCUAGCUGGUCAAAUUCUCCAGAGAAGACUCUUACAGCAGCUCUUUAGGAGACCCUCAUCCUCUGGGCCAGCAUUCUGGAAUCGAGGUUGGGAGAGAAGUCUGAGGGGAGGAGAUGGCGCAGGGCAUCUCAAUCUUCCCGUGUAAAUUCUCAGGUAACCCCGCUGCUCUCAAGAUGGCGCCCCAUCAUCCACUGUGCAUGGUGGUUCCCAACCCAGUGCCCUUCUGUUCCUCUACAGCUGCACUUGCCAACACAGCAACCUCUGAUCUCCUGCAGCUAUUUACAUUUAAAUUAAUUAAAAUAGGAGUUCCCUUCAUGGCUCAGUGGUUAACGAAACCAACUAGGAACCAUGAGGUUGUGGGUUCGAUCCCUGGCCUUGCUCAGUGGGUUAAGGAUCCGGCGUUGCCGUGAGCUGUGGUGUAGGUAGCAGACGUGGCUCGGAUCCUGAGUUGCUGUGGCUCUGGCCCAGGCCGGCAGCUGCAGCUCCAAUUCGACCCCUAGCCUGGAAACCUCCAUAUGCCACAGGUGCGGCCCUAGAAAAGACAAUAAGUAAAUAAAUAAAUACAUAAAUUAAAAUGAAAUAAACUUUCAAUCUCUCAAUCGCACUAACCACAUUUCACGCAGUCAAGAGCCACGUGAAGCUAGUGGCUGGCAACUGUAUUUUUUUUCUUUUUUUCUUUCUUUUUUUUCCCCCUGCUUUUUAGGGCUGCACCUGCAGCACAUGGAAAUUCCCAUUUCCCAGGCGAAGGGUCGAAUCGGAGCUACAGCUGCCAGCCUGCAUCACAGCCACAGCAAUGCAGGAUCCGAGCCGAGUCUGCAACCUACACCACAGCUCAUGGCAAUGCCAGAUCCUGAACCUACUGAGCGAGGCCAGGGAUCAAACCCUCAUCCUCAUGGAUGCUAGUCGGAUUCGUUUUCACUGCG